AGAACGAACGCUGGCGGCAUGCCUAACACAUGCAAGUCGAACGCUUGUCGAGACUUCGGUUUUGGCAGGAGUGGCGCACGGGUGAGUAGCGCGUGGGAACCUGCCCUGUUGUGGGGGAUAACCGAGGGAAACUUCGGCUAAUACCGCAUACGCCCUGGUGAGCGAUCAUCGGGGGAAAGAUUUAUCGCAGCAGGAGGGGCCCGCGUCGGAUUAGCUAGUUGGUGGGGUAACGGCCCACCAAGGCGAUGAUCCGUAGCUGGUCUGAGAGGAUGAUCAGCCACACUGGGACUGAGACACGGCCCAGACUCCUACGGGAGGCAGCAGUGGGGGAAUAUUGGACAAUGGGCGCAAGCCUGAUCCAGCAAUGCCGCGUGAGUGAUGAAGGCCUUCGGUUGUAAAGCUCUUUCGCCCGCGACGAUGAUGACGGUAGCGGGAGAAGGAAGCCCCGGCUAACGUUCGUGCCAGCAGCCGCGGU
This 475-nucleotide ribosomal RNA is filed under the name uncultured bacterium. RNAcentral's name for it is "SSU rRNA". It matches the Rfam family "Bacterial small subunit ribosomal RNA", at positions 26 to 521 of the family's 1533-position model. The record is from RNAcentral.